UGUCACUUUUACUGUCAUUUUUAUUUACGAAGUAGUUAUUUGUUUAUAUGUAUAAUAAUUUUAUAAACUAGAGUUUUUUAAAAGCCGCUAAUUUAUUAUUGCAAUUUUAAGGUGAAACAUACAAACAUGAAGAGUAGAAUGGGCCAAAUGUUGUAAUAAAAACUCGUCCAAUUAUCUAUCUGGAAAGCAGCGACGAACGCCCCCACCAACAUAAGAAAUAUGGUACCGGGACCCAAGAUGGUACCUCCCAUGAGCAAUAUCUGGUAACCGAUGUACGGCAUGGAUAUAUUAUCAUUGACUUCGAUGGUUUUUUUAUAAUCCAUUAGAAGAUCCAUGAUGUUAGCUAUUGUAGACGGUACCCAUCGACGACGUUGGUUGAAGAACUCGUUGAAACCUUCGGGGGCGUGGGUGUAAGCAUCCGAAGCGGCCGAAUAUUCGACUCUAUAUCCUCUUUGGAGUAAUAAAGUGCAGAGCCAGCGAUCCUCUCCUUGAUCGUAUUGAACGUAAUGUCUCGCUUCGCCCGAACUGGAAAAGAAGAUUUAAAAUCACUUUUUUUGGGAUGUAAUCAUCUCACCAUGUCGUAUAUUUCUUCAUGACGUUGUCGUCCAUCAGGGCUUUUCCUCGGAAAAGGGAGAAACAACCGGGACUACAUAAUACGCAGCCUAUGACGUGCUCGGUAGCUUUUUGUAACCAAUGCCCAAUGGCGUAUUCGAAAAGUUGAUACCACACCAUCGGUCCUGAUCCAACUGGGUGGAUACGACCGCACGCGGCUCCUAGAUGUAAAAUUAACGUUAAAUAAAUGACAUUUACCAUU
Diorhabda carinulata is the source of this 814-nucleotide long non-coding RNA. RefSeq lists it as uncharacterized. The record is from RefSeq and is a predicted model, not a curated record. The transcript has 2 exons. NCBI's taxonomy places the organism in Eukaryota, Metazoa, Arthropoda, Insecta, Coleoptera, Chrysomelidae.